RNAcentral lists this ribosomal RNA (429 nucleotides) under Actinomycetes bacterium. Its description in RNAcentral is "Actinobacteria bacterium partial 16S ribosomal RNA". It matches the Rfam family "Bacterial small subunit ribosomal RNA", at positions 355 to 776 of the family's 1533-position model. The record is from RNAcentral. Lineage: Bacteria; Bacillati; Actinomycetota; Actinomycetes.
UAGGGAAUCUUCCGCAAUGGGCGAAAGCCUGACGGAGCAACGCCGCGUCAGUGAUGAAGGUCUUCGGAUCGUAAAACUCUGUUAUUAGGGAAGAACAAAUGUGUAAGUAACUAUGCACGUCUUGACGGUACCUAAUCAGAAAGCCACGGCUAACUACGUGCCAGCAGCCGCGGUAAUACGUAGGUGGCAAGCGUUAUCCGGAAUUAUUGGGCGUAAAGCGCGCGUAGGCGGUUUUUUAAGUCUGAUGUGAAAGCCCACGGCUCAACCGUGGAGGGUCAUUGGAAACUGGAAAACUUGAGUGCAGAAGAGGAAAGUGGAAUUCCAUGUGUAGCGGUGAAAUGCGCAGAGAUAUGGAGGAACACCAGUGGCGAAGGCGACUUUCUGGUCUGUAACUGACGCUGAUGUGCGAAAGCGUGGGGAUCAAACAGG